Molecule: long non-coding RNA, 11470 nt
Filed under: Homo sapiens (human)
Lineage: Eukaryota; Metazoa; Chordata; Mammalia; Primates; Hominidae
Description: non-protein coding lnc-FAM217A-1:6
Source: RNAcentral
AGUCAAUGCUAGAAAUGGACGUUUAGUUAUUGAAUCCCGCUAACGAGGGGAGCCAACAAGAGAGGGAUGUCGGCAUCGGGUGUGCGGUUCCAAGAACUGAUUGGCUGUGGAGAUUAGAAGUUAGGUGAAAAUUCUCUUAAACUCGGGCAAACGAAUUGAUGAUUUUUCCCCUGGUCGGUGUUAGAGACACAGUAAAUGCUUAACCAUCUCGCUAGACAGCUCAACUGAAGUGGCAUUAACUUCCCGGGAAAGUGUGUAGAAAGGCAUUUUUAAAUACUGUAAACUCGAACGUAAAUAUCUUUUAAUGUGGAACUGUUACUACAUUUAACACUGAACAUCUUUUCAACUUUUACAUAGUUCAAGGGUGACACGAUUCAGUUCGUUAUUUCCGUAAUUGGAACGUGUAAUGUUUUUUGGCCCAAGUUGCGUUAUGUGAUUUUGUUUUCUUCUAUAACGACUCUACAGUAAUGGGGUAGAAUGGAAUAUUGUGGGGAAAACAUUUACUGGCUCUUGGAGAACUCUCAAAACCAAUUAGGUUCUUUAAUUCCUCUUUAAAAAAAUAUUUCUCGCCUGGCGCUGUGGCUCACCCCUGUAAUCCCAGCACCUUGGGAGGCCGAGGCGGGCGGAUCACCUGAGGCCAGGAUUUGGAGACCAGCCUGGCCAACAUGGUGAAACCCCGUCUCUAUUAAAAAUACAAAAAAUUAGCUGGGCGUGGUGGCGCUCGCCUAUAAUCCCAGCUACUCCGGAGGCUGAGGCAGGAGAAUCGCUUGAACCCGAGAGGCGGAGUUUGCACUGAGAUCACGCCACUGCACUCCAGCCUGGGCGACAGAGCAAGAUUCCAUCUCAAAAAAAAAAAAAAAAUUAUCCAUACUUUGGAACCUGGAAGCAGCGUGACGAUCACUUUCAUUCUUGUAAUCAUCUGAGUUUGCCUUUGUCCUAGAAAAUUGAGUUCGGAAUCUCCAGACUCCAUACAUAUCUCUUGAUUUCCAGGGGAGAAGGGUUUUAAAUGUUCUUACAAAAUGUCUCUUGUUGCCUGAAUUCCAAACGUUUUGAAAUGUUAGGGCCGGGCGCGGUGGCUCACGCCUGCAAUCCUCUAGCACUUUGGGAGGCCGAGGCGGGCGGAUUGCCUGAACUCAAGAGUUCGAGUCCAGCCUGGCCAACAUAGCGAAACUCCGUCUCUGCUAAAAAUACAAAAAAUUAGCCGGCGUGGUGGCGCCUGUAGUCUCAGCUACUCGGGAGGCUGAGGCAAGAGAAUCGCUUGAACCCGGGAGGCCGAGAUCGCGCCAUUGCACUCCAGCCUGGGCAACAAAAGCAAAAACGCCGUCUCAAAUAAAUAAAUGAAAUAAACUUAGUAAACUAUUUUUAAAUAAUGUUAAAAUUAACGGUGUACGUAGUAGAACUGUGAGAGAUCUCAUCUUGGAAAUAGAGUGAUAUACUUGAAGGCAAGAGAUUGGGUCAGGUACUAUUAACACGUUUUACACAUGAACAAACCGACACUAAGAGGAACCUUUGCAACGGAAAGCGGCCUCGGGCAGGCGCCUUUUGAGCAGAGGAGUAAAACCGGUAAGUCAGCAGUGGAACCCGCCUCCCCGGAAAUCCUUGGAGGGGGCGGGGCCCUGGGGAGCGCGCUCUUCCCAGCGGCAGCUGGGGAGGCGCAUGCGUACUUGCGUCAUCGUUGGGUAGCAGCGGGGAGGCGUGGGAGGAUCUGAGGCCUGCGGUGGGCCUUGGUCCCUUCUCUCCCCGCCCCGAAGCCGCCUGCUCAACCUGAGGGCCACCGGCCUCUAUCCGUCGGUGCCGAUGCUCCUUGCUUCCCAGCCAGAGCGUCUCAUCUCUGGGCCCGGAGCCCCAGGCUCGUUCUCCUCAGCCCCUGCCGGCGGCGGCGCUCUUGCAGCCAUUCCUGUGAGGUCGUUUUUCGGAGCAGCCGGGCCGGCCGAGGAUCUCUUCCUGAACCAGUGACAGUGGUUCUCAAACAUUUUGGUCUGAGGACCCCUUUAUGGCCUUAAAAAUGAUCGAAGAGCUUUUAUUUAUGAAGGUAAUACCUGCUAAUACUUGUUGUAAUCUAUUAACAUUGAGAAAUGUAAAAAUUUUUAUUAAUUCACUUAAAAUAUCAAUAAACCCAUUAUUUGCUAAUAUAAAUUGCACUUUUUAAUGAAAAAUAACUUUAGUUUCUACUGUGUGCUUCUGCAUUUUGAAAAUAUGUCUAGGAUACGGUAUGUAUUUAGGAGAUAUUUUCUAAAUAAAUGCAUAUUCAUUUUUUAAAAUGGGACAAAUGUAGCAUAGACAUAUUUUUGCUAACAAUAUCCAUAUAGUUGCAAAUUUCACUUUUAGAAUUUGCUUUCAAAAACAGGUUGUUUAUUCUUCUUUGUUAUGCCUUAGUUAGUAAAUCAUAUAUUAUAAAACUUCUUCAAUGCAAUUGGUCUUUGGUCAGCCAUUGACAUAGGAAGAGUUAGAAAGAGUCCAGGGCUCCUUGGUACUGGCUGUGACUGGAUAAGUAGGUUGUGGCUUAGUUUGUGUUUAGGUGUCAUAACUAGGCUAGGUUUGGGUCCCAGAAAGUGCUAGCCUUACUGUAGGAGAGGAAGUGGUAUUGCUGGGUGUGUCCUCAGGUCAGGAAGUGGGACGAGUGCAGUAUGGAAGCCCAGGGGGGUCCUUGUGACUGGAGGAAAGGUGAGGUUUCCAGUAAAGGAUUCAGAAUUCGGGCAUGGUGCAGCAUGCCUAUAGCCCCAGCUACUCAGGAGGCUGAAGUGGGAGGAUCACUUGAGACCAGGAGUUCAAGGUUGCAGUGAGCUGUCAUUGCGCCACUGCACCCCAGCCUGGGUGACAGAGUGAGACCUGUCUCAAAAAUAAAUACAUAAAAAUAAUAAUUAAAAAAAAAGGAUUCAGAAUUCUAGAAUACAUAUUAUCUUUCUAUCAUGCAGAUCUGUUCUUAGGAUUGUAUUUUCCAAAUCAUGAAUAAAAUAAUUUCCAAAAUACUUAUUGGGAAAUUAUAUAUAUGUACUGUAUUACUUGGAAUAAAAAUCAAAUAAAAGUCAAACUUCUUAAUGUGGCUGUAAAGCCUUGAUUAUUUAAACCUUGCCUAUUUUUCAGUUUAAUCUUUCAGCCACACUGGCCCUUGUGUUAAUCCUAAAACAUGCCAUGCUUUUUCCUACAUUAAAGCUUAGGGUUUUUGAUAUUUCUACUGCCUGGAUUUCUCUGUUCUCACUCUUCCUCUUGAUCACCAUGACUUAUUUUUCAAGUGUUGGCUUAAAUGUCCGUCUCACAGAUAGCCCUUAUCUAAAUAACAGCUUUCCCUCUGGUUCCUAGAUAAAUUAGGACCUGUUUUUUUCUAUAACUUUCUUAAAGUAUCCUAUUAUUUUCCCUGAUAAAACCUUGUUGGACUGUUUGUCAGUAUAUUUAUUUGCCUGUUUGUUUGGUGUCAGUUUCUCUUUUUUUCCUGUGUGUUUUGUUUGUUUGUUUUUUUGAGACGCAGUUUCACUCUGUCACCAGGCUGGAGUGCAAUGGUGCAAUCUCGGCUCACCACAACCUCCACCUCCCAGGUUCAAGCAAUUCUUCUGCCUCAGCCUCCCGAGUAGCUGGGAUUACAGGCAUGUGCCACCAUCCUGGCUAAUUUUGUAUUUUUAGUAGAGACAGGGUUUUUCCAUGUUGGUCAGGCUGGUCGCAAACUCCCGACCUCAGGUGAUCCGCCUGUCUUGGCCUCCCAAGGUGCUGAGAUUACAGGCGUGAACCACCGCACCCGGCCUGUUUGUUUGUUUUCUUAUUAGACUAUAAACUAUAUGAGAUCAGACCAUGUCUCUUUUGUUUAUCACUCUGGCCUACCUGCUAACACAGUGCUUACACAUAAUAGUAGGUGCUCAAGAAAUACAGUGUUUGAUGGAUGAACGUAAAAUUGUAAGAGCCUGAACUAGUGUAAUAUCGAAAAUAGGGAGGAAGACAUGAAUUAGGAAAGCCUUUGAAAAAUUAGCAUGUUCUGUGAUAAAGCUACAUCUAGGCAAUAUUUUUUGAUACUUUUAAAAAAAAAACUGUAAUAGCUACCCAAUAUUUAGGAAUGAUACACAUCACACAUCUCAGUGAGGUAUGUAGCCUUUUGUACUGGUGAAGAGAGCCAGGUGAAGUCUAACUCUAAGGAUCUAAACACUCCAUUCUAGUAGAGAGCCUGGAGAAGUGCUCUUGCAUAAGCUCAUCCAUGUAAGACCAUCCAUAACUUAGUGAAAUAAUUUUCAUUGCUGUUUAGUUGCAAAAAUCACUCACUGUUUUGCCUCCAUAAGAUUAUCGGUUUUAGUGUUUAAUCGUUCACAGCCUUGUCAAAACCAAAAUGGCUAGGGAGAGAACUAUUUCCCUACAUUAAAACUUCGAGCAAUGCUCUUCAUAGAUUUUGUUUUGAAUUGUUUAGGCCCAUCUCAGAGUUCAAGACACUUAGUCUCUUCUAAGAGAAAUCAUGGUCACAACAAACAGAGAUUAAAUAAAGAGCAAGAAAUUAGAAGAAACUCAAACCAUUCACUUAGAUUAUUUGUUAGAUUUUGGCCUUAAAAAGAGACAAAGUUGCUUGAAACAAGUGAUUAAACUGACAUUUUUAGAUUAUUAUUUUAUUCAUACCUUUAUUGUGAAUAAAUUGGCCACAUGAUAACAUUUUAUAAUGUUAAAUAAAUAUGAUAUAUAUAAAUCUGUAUACCACAACAAUUAAAUUGGAGGGCGAUUUGCCAUUUAAAUAAUUUAUCAUAGGAUUUUUAUAAGAUCAAGCGCUUAGUGCAUAUCAAAGAGACAGAAAGUUUUCAUUGCAGUUCUGCACGUUCACUGAGUACCUUUUAUGUACCAGUUGCAUUGUUCUAGAAUCUUAUCUAUCAUGUAAAGCUAGGUACACCUGAAAUAGUUUAGUUAUGGUGGCAAAGUUAGACUGCAGUUAUUGGCUGGGAAUUUUUUGUAUAUCUAUGUACAUCUUCCAUAAGAGGGCAGCAAAGGACCAGCAUGAUUUUUUCCUUAUCAUGAAGUCAUAGCAGAGAUUGCCUCAUAUUGCAAACUUAAUAGAAAUCUUCUCAGAGUAAGGGCAAACAGAGGGCAUGGUUACAAGUUUACUUACUGUCUAGCCUGUCUUUUAUAUGGUCUGAUAUGGCUUUUUAGUACAUAGAUUAUCUCACAUCACAGUGAUAGCCUAGUGAUUAAAUGUUGAUCCUGGGGUCAGUUGUCAGGCUUUAAAUCCUGGAACCAUAACUUAACUAGCUUCGUGGUCUAGAAAGACUACUCAGUCUUUCUGAGCCUCAGUUUCUUCCUCAAUUUUUUAUAAAAAGGAGGGCAAGGGAUAGUAACAAUGCCACUUCACAUGGUUUUAAUAAACAAAAUAAAAUUUGUGUCCUGAAGAGGCUAAGAACAGUUAAAAGGUGGAGCUAGAAAAACCACCCUAUACUAGCCUUAGGUGUAUUGUAUUUAUUUAAGUUAAACUCUUAUUAAAAAGAGUCUCAUAAAGGAAAAUAUAGGUCAUUACUUUCUGUAACUACUUAGUAUUUUUAGUUAACUAACAUAUAUAUCUAUGUACUGACCAAUUAUUUGCUCGUACAAUUUAUCAAACCAAUUAAAUAUACACUGUUAAAUUUAUUUCCCUGUCCCCCGAGACAGAUCCUGGCUACGUUGCCCAGGCUGGAGUGCAGUGGCGCGAUUUUGGCUCACUGCAACCUCUGCCUCCCAGGUUCAGGCAAUUCUCCUGCCUCAGCCUCCUGAGUAGCUGGGAUUACAGAGGCCUGCCACCAUGCCUGGCUAAUUUUUGUAUUUUUAGUAGAGAUGGGAUUUCACCAUGUUGGCCAGGGUGGUCUCAAACUCCUGACCUCAGGUGAUCCAGCCGCCUCGGCCUCCCAGAGUGUUGGGAUUACAAGCAUGAGCCAGCACGCCUGGCCUGAAAAUACAUUUUGAUGAACAAAAAAUUUUUAAUUUUUUUUUUUUUUUUUUUCCUGAGACAGAGCUUUGCUCUGUCACCCAGGCUGGAGUGCAAUGGCGUGAUCUUGCCUCACUGCAACCUAUGCCUCCUGGGUUCAAGCAAUUCUCCUGCCUCAGCCUCCCGAGUAGCUAGGAUUACAGGCAUGGGCCACCAUGCCCGGCUAAUUUUUUGUAUUUUUAGUAGAGACGGGAUUUCACCAUGUUUGCCAGGCUGGUCUCAAACUCCUGACCUUGUGAUCCGCCCCCGUGGCCUCCCAAAGUGCUGAGAUUGCGGGCGUGAGCCACCACUCCCAGCCAAAAAUUUUUUAAUUUUAAAAGUCAAUGUAUAUCAUUUGUAUUUUAUAGUUAGUGCUUUUUUUGUAUUGUUUAAAUUUUUAAAAUUCUUCCAUUAAUCUAAAAUAUUUUCAUGUGUGCUUUCUACUAAGAGAAUUUAAGUUUUGUUUUUGACAUUAUAGUUUUUAAUACAUUUGGAUUUGGAUCUUAUAUCUUGUAUGAUACAGAACUCUAAUUUUCGCCUUUAACUACAUGCAUAAUCAUUUUUUCCACCUCCACUUAUUGAAUAGUUCCUAAUUUUCCCAUCAAUAUCAUGUGUUUCUUCUGGCAUAGCCAAAGUCCCAUAAAUGUGUGGGUCUGUUGUAGUUUCCUAUUUAAUUCAGUUAAUUUGUCCAAUUUGUUUUAUUAUGCCUUAAUUACCACAGCUUCACAGUAAGUCUUUAUGUCUGAUAGGGCAGCUUCCUCUAGUGUCUUCAGAAAUUUCCUGACUUUAAAAAAAAUCCUUAUUGUUCAUGCUUUUUUAAAGAAUUAGCUUUACAUGAUGCAAGAAAAAGAUCUGUUGGAAUUUUGAUUGUAAUUUUGUUAAAUCUAUAGGUCAACUAAUUACAAUAUUGAAUCUUCUUAUGCACAAACAUGGUAUAUUUCUCCAUUUAUUCAGGUCUUUAUUUAAUGUCUCCUAAUGUCUUUUUGUAGUUUUUACUUAGAGAUCUUACAUAUUUGUUAUUAUAUUUACUCCUAGGUACUUGGUAUUCUCUAAGAUUAUUGAAAAUGCUGUCUUCUUUUUAAUUACAUUUUCAGGUAUUUGUCAUUGGUAUAAAGAAAUGUAUUUGACAAUAAUCUUAUAUUCACCUUAAAUUCUCUUAUUUCUAAUAAAUUGUACUUUUUUUGGUUUUCUACAAAAAUGAUCAUAUCUAAAAAUAAAGUUAGAUUUGUUUAUUCUUCUGCAUCAUUUUGAAUUCAGUUUAUUAUUUCAUGUGCUAUUAGAACCUUUAAUUUAGUAUUAUUUAUUUUUUGAUUUGUAAAUCGGAAUGCUUUUAUUAUCUUUUCAUUUAGGAUGAUGUUUACUGUAGGUUACUUAGAUACGCUCUAUGGAAAUCUCUUUUAUUUUUUCUAAGACCUUUUAUUAUGAAUUUAAUGUUGAAUUUUAUCAAAUGCUUUCUCUGCAUUUAUUAGAAUAAUUAUGAUUUUUCUCUAUCUGUUAUUAUAAUGGGUCAGAUUUAUAGAUUUUUCUCAUACUAAGCCUAUCCUUGUAUUCCUUGGAUAAAUCUAACUUGGUAAUGUUUACUUUUUUCAUAACUUUUAGCUAUUAAGUAGAUACCAAAUUUUCUUUCAAGGUCAAGUUUGAUAGUUAUAAAAAACUAGUGAUACUAAGUCAUAGAAAAUAUACUUUAAAAAACUAGUGAUACUAAGUCAUAGAAAAUAUACUUUAUUUUAUAAAAAGACUUUAACUGUAAAAAGUAAAAAAAAAAAAAAAAAAAAAAAAAAAAAAAAAAAAAACCUGGCCGGGUGCGCUGGCUCACCCCUGUAAUCCCAGCACUUUGGGAGGCCGAGGCAGGCAGAUCACGAGGUCAGGGGAUCGAGACCAUCCUGGCUAACACGGCGAAACCCCGUCUUUACUAAAAAUACAAAAAAUCAGCCGGGCGUGGUGGUGGGCGCCCGUAUUCCCAGCUACUCGGGAGGCUGAGGCAGGGGAAUGGCGUGAACCCUGGGGGGGCGGAGCUUGCAGUGAGCCAAGAUUGCGCCACUGCACUCCAGCCUGGGAGACAGAGCAAGACUCUGCCUCAAAAAAAAAAAAAAAAAAAACCCCUAGAAUUUUAAUUACUGCCUUUACUUUUAAUUCAGUGGUUUUUAGUAUAUUCACAGAGUUGUGUAACAAUCACCAUGAUCAAUUUUAGCAUAUUUUUAUUACUUCAAAAAGCAACUCUGGACUCAUGAGCAGUCAUUCACUCCCCAUCUGCUCCCAACCCCUUUGUUCCCAUCCGCCCACCCAGCCCUAGGCAGCCACUAAUCUACUUUCUGUCUCUACAGAUUUGCCUGUUCUGGACCUUUCAUAUAAAUGCAAUCAGGCAAAAGAAAGGAGAUUUCAGUGCUCAGUGUUGCCAGGUAUCUCUGCCUCCAGUUUUGCACCUUCCUGGAAAGCUCAUUUUGUUCAGAUUGUCUGCCUGCCUCUAUCUAUCCUGCCUUCAGUGGAUGGCAGAGAUUUCAUCUCUUUUGUUUGCACAGCCUUGAAAGGUGCUUGAUACAGAGAUGCUUGGUAAAUACUUGCAGAAUAAAUUAUAAAAGUAACACAUACUCAUAAAAAUUUUAAAGUAAAAAUAUGUAUAGUAAUAAACACUUGGUGCUUAUUACAUAUCAUCCAGUGGGAUAAAUGCUUGUAAGUAUAGUCAGCCUUCUGUUUCCCUGGGUUCCAGAUUUGUGGAUUCAACCAACUGUGGCUCUAAAAUAUCUGGGGGGAAAAUGGCAUCUGUACUGAACAUGUACAUACUUCUUUUCUUGUCAUUCCUUAAACAAUACAGUAUAACUAUUUACAUAGCAUUUAUACUGUAUUAGGUAUUAUAAGUAAUCUAGAGAUUAUUUAAAAUAUACUGGAGGAUGUGCAUAGGUUAUAUGCACAUACUAUGCCAUUUUAUAUCAGAGAUUUGAGCAUCCAAGGAUUUGGGUAUCUGCAAAUUUUGGUAUUCUUGGGAGGUCCUGGAACCAAUCUCUUACAGAUACCAAAGGAUGGCUGUAUUCUCCAUUCCUUUUCACCAGCUGAGAUCGUACUGUUAUCUGCACUUAACAGAUUAAGAAAUAGGUGUGAUGAGUAAUUUGUUUAAAUUCUGUGGUUGAUUGUGUUACUUUUCGACUGUAUUCUGUGCUCUUCCCUACAGGAGGAUUAUUCAUUCCUGUUUACUUGAAUUCAGGCAACAUCAUGUAACUUGAUUUAAGGAACCGAUACAUGAGUGGAAAUUCUGUGUGGCAUUUCUGAGCAGAAGUUUUAUGAGGCAGCACAUGCUCACUGUGUUACCUGUUCCUUCUGCCAUGAGACUGGCAGAUGGACAUUCUCUAUCAGCCAGGAUAUCAGAAUGAAGAAAUGUAGAACAUAGACCAAAACACCAAUGAGAAAUAAGCGUUUGUUGUUUUAGGGAAAGUGUGUUACCACAGCAUAAUUUAACCUAUCCCAAGUGAAUACAUAUUCAUGGAGUUAAUAUCUAUACCUGAAAAUUGAAACUCAGGUUGUCUACAUCUAACUAUGCCUCUGUCUUUUCCAAAGGUAUAAAGUAGGAGAAACUUCCCCAUGAUCCUACUCUUCCAGUGUUAACUACAGUUAAAAUUUAGUGUAAAAUUGUUUAAUACUUUUUCCUAUGUGUAUGUCAAUGUUCAUUUUUUUAAAACUGGGACCACUUUAUAUGACACAUACUAUUUUAGAGCUUCCUUUUCCUACUUAGUAAUAUAAAAUGGACCACUGUCACAGGUUAGGUUUUCCAUAAACAGACACUGAGUUUGGAAUAUAAGAUUAUUUUCAGGGAUCAUCACCUUUAAAAGGAGAAGUGAAGAAGUAGGAUUGGGGAGAGCAAGAAGUAGAGCUGUGAUGCUGGCCCACAGAUGUCUCUCUGGGGUUCGUAUUGUUUGUCAGAGUUAUCCCAUAUCUUGUAGAAGUGGCCAUGCUUUUCAACCCACUCCUUACUCAGUGGCCUGAUGUGGGCUGCCCUGAGCAAGGUAGCUUUCUGCAGCUGAAGCAGACACUGAAGUUGCUGGCAGCUAACUCCAUCUUUGCAGCUGGGCAGCAAAUCCUUUCUUGAAGUGGGAUCUGGACAUUUAUAUUUGUCUAGCACAGUUCAUUUUUUGCAUCACUUGGAAACCCUUCUCUGUUUUCAUUCCUUUUGUUCUUAAUGUAUAUUCUCAAGCCUCUUGUCUACAAUCACUAGAUAAGUUUGUUGUAAACUGUCUUAACUAUAAAAUGAAGAAGGUAUAGGUAACUAUAAUAUGAAGAAUGCAUUGGAAGUGUAAAUUUUAAAGGAGUUUGCUGAUUAAUAACUCUUUUGUUGUAACUUUUGUUCAAUGAUGUUUGACAAAUACUUUUUUUUUUUUUAAUUUGAGGCAGAGUCUCACUCUGUUGCCCAAACUGGAAUGCAGUGGCAUGAUCUCAGCUCACUGCAACCUCCGCCUGUUGGGCUCAGAGAUCUUCCCGCCCCAGCCUCCCGAGGAGCUGGAACUACAGCCUUGUGCCACCACACCCAGCAAAUUUUUGUAUUUUAUUGCAGAGAUGGCAUUUCACCAUGUUGCCCAGGCUGGUCUUGAACUACUGGACUUAAGCAAUCCGCCCACCUGGGCCUCCCAAAGUGCUGAGAUUACAGGCAUGAGCCACCGCGCCUGGCUGACAAAUACUUUUUAAAAAUAUCCAAGUUUCUGGAUUUUAUUCACCUCUACAAAAAUGAUUUAAGUCCUGUAGAAACAUGUGCCCACAAAUGACACAGUAAUCUCCAGCAAUGUGUUCAACAGCACGUUGAGCAUAAUUGAGCAUAACAGACAUUUUUAAAUUUGUUGUCUCAAAUUCCAUUUAGAUUUGGCUAUUGAUGCAAAAUUAGGGAGGUCAUUUUUCACUAGAUUACUUUCAAUGCUGGAAUCCAUACUUAAAAAAAAAAAAAGAAGAAACUAGAUUUAGUAUAUCUUUCUUUGCCACUUCAGGCUUCCAAAGGAGAAAAAUUCAUGGAUAAGUCAUUAACUGUUACAAAUGCAUUAUGUCUUCAGUUGUGAUGGUUAUGAUAAAACAUGUUUAUUUUAUAUUUGUAAUUUAGUAAAAUUAGUUGAUUCAAGGAGCUCUAUCAUAAAUGGGAAGUAAUAAAAUGAUAAUAAUUAAAGCAGGUUAUUUUUCUCUGGUCAUUUUUGCAUUCUUUGUAGCUCAUGAAGUAGAUUUGUUGCUUUCAUCUGUGUCUGCCAUGUAUGCUAGGCAGGAAAGAAAGGAAGUAAGAAAGAUAUAGCCAUGUGGGGAAAGGAGACAGAGGGAAGGAGGAGGAAAGAGAAGGAAGGAAAUAAAAUCAACUCUUCGUUUUCUGCACUUUCCCUGAGCAAGUUCUUUUUUAUUUGUGUGUACAAUGAAUCUGCGUUUCUCCCUGCCACGCCCCCUCCCAACCCCUUUGGCUAAUAGAAAGCUCUGAAAAAAAUUUUGAAACUUAUAUCCAAAUGCAGUGGAUAUAAAUAAAGUUAUUUCCCCUGGCUUUUCAAAAAUAUGAGUGAGUGUUGGAUAUUAGAAAGCUACCUUACUUCUUUAGAUCGAGACCAUCCUGGCUAAUACGGU